CAUUGGCGUGAUGAUACAAAAUUCUGAAAAUACAUUAUGUGGACUAAACCAUAAUCAGACUACAAUUAUCUGAUCAAUG
Molecule: small nucleolar RNA, 79 nt
Organism: Juglans microcarpa x Juglans regia
Lineage: Eukaryota; Viridiplantae; Streptophyta; Magnoliopsida; Fagales; Juglandaceae
Product: small nucleolar RNA Z155
Exons: 1
Source: RefSeq, a predicted model, not a curated record